RNAcentral lists this ribosomal RNA (465 nucleotides) under uncultured bacterium. RNAcentral describes it as "partial 16S ribosomal RNA". It matches the Rfam family "Bacterial small subunit ribosomal RNA", at positions 28 to 507 of the family's 1533-position model. The record is from RNAcentral.
GACGAACGCUGGCGGCGUGCUUAACACAUGCAAGUCGAACGGAAAGGCCCCUUUUGGUUUCCUCGAGUGGCGAACGGGUGAGUAACACGUGGGUAACCUGCCCUUGCCUUCGGGAUAACUUCAGGUAACUGGGGCUAAUACCGGAUAGGAAUCCUUGCUGCAUGGUGGGGGUUGGAAAGCUUCGGCGGUUUUGGAUGGACUCGCGGCUUAUCAGCUUGUUGGUGGGGUAGUGGCUUACCAAGGCUUUGACGGGUAGCCGGCCUGAGAGGGUGACCGGCCACAUUGGGACUGAGAUACGGCCCAGAAGCCGACGGGAGGCAGCAGUGGGGAAUAUCGCACAAAGGGAGGAAGCCUGAUGCAGCAACGCCGCGUGUGGGAUGACGGCCUUGGGGUUGUAAACCGCUUUCAGCAGGGGCGAAGCUUGUGGUGACGGUACCUGAAGAAGAAGCACCGGCUAACUACGUG